GAGUCAUUGGGACUGUACGAAACCUAAAGGCGCAAUGAAAGUGAAAGUCCGCCUAGCUCGGACCGAGGGAGGAUGGGACGGCCCCCGGGCCGACCCCGCACUCCCGGGGCGUCUCGUUCUCAUCGCGAGAAGAGGCGCACCCAGAGCGUACACGCUGGGACCCGAAAGAUGGUGAACUAUGCCUGGUCAGGACGAAGUCAGGGGAAACCCUGAUGGAGGUCCGUAGCGAUUCUGACGUGCAAAUCGAUCGUCGGAACUGGGUAUAGGGGCGAAAGACUAAUCGAACCUUCUAGUAGCUGGUUCCCUCCGAAGUUUCCCUCAGGAUAGCUGGCGCUCGCCUUAGCGAGUCUCAUUCGGUAAAGCGAAUGAUUAGAGGCAUUGGGGUCGAAACGGCCUCAACCUAUUCUCAAACUUUAAAUGGGUGAGAUCUCCGGCUUGCUUGAAGCUUGAAGCCGCGAGAUAUCGGGAUCGAAGAGUGCCAAGUGGGCCACUUUUGGUAAGCAGAACUGGCGCUGUGGGAUGAACCAAACGCAGAGUUAAAGCGCCUAAAUCGACGCUUAUGGGAUACCAUGAAAGGCGUUGGUAACUUAAGACAG
RNAcentral lists this ribosomal RNA (596 nucleotides) under Eurysternus caribaeus. RNAcentral describes it as "eukaryotic LSU rRNA". It matches the Rfam family "Eukaryotic large subunit ribosomal RNA", at positions 688 to 1240 of the family's 3401-position model. The record is from RNAcentral. Lineage: Eukaryota; Metazoa; Arthropoda; Insecta; Coleoptera; Scarabaeidae.